This is a non-coding RNA of Triticum aestivum (bread wheat), 56 nucleotides long. The record is from Rfam. NCBI's taxonomy places the organism in Eukaryota, Viridiplantae, Streptophyta, Magnoliopsida, Poales, Poaceae.
GCUCAAUUGGUAAAGCACAAGGCUCUUAACCUUGUGGACGUGGAUUCAAGUCCCAU